UAGGGAAUCUUCGGCAAUGGGGGCAACCCUGACCGAGCAACGCCGCGUGAGUGAAGAAGGUUUUCGGAUCGUAAAGCUCUGUUGUAAGAGAAGAACGAGUGUGAGAGUGGAAAGUUCACACUGUGACGGUAACUUACCAGAAAGGGACGGCUAACUACGUGCCAGCAGCCGCGGUAAUACGUAGGUCCCGAGCGUUAUCCGGAUUUAUUGGGCGUAAAGCGAGCGCAGGCGGUUAGAUAAGUCUGAAGUUAAAGGCUGUGGCUUAACCAUAGUACGCUUUGGAAACUGUUUAACUUGAGUGCAGAAGGGGAGAGUGGAAUUCCAUGUGUAGCGGUGAAAUGCGUAGAUAUAUGGAGGAACACCAGUGGCGAAAGCGGCUCUCUGGUCUGUAACUGACGCUGAGGCUCGAAAGCGUGGGGAGCAAACAGGAUUAGAUACCCUGGUAGUCCACGCCGUAACGAUGAGUGCUAGGUGUUGGGUCCUUUCCGGGACUCAGUGCCGCAGCUAACGCAUUAAGGCACUCCGCCUGNNNAGUACGACCGCAAGGUUG
This 550-nucleotide ribosomal RNA is filed under the name uncultured bacterium. RNAcentral describes it as "bacterial SSU rRNA". It matches the Rfam family "Bacterial small subunit ribosomal RNA", at positions 355 to 896 of the family's 1533-position model. The record is from RNAcentral.